AGCCCCCAAACGAAGCAGGGCAGAGCGGCAGGGCCCGGCCAUAUUGGGUUUUCCUCCUUUUUUCCCCCUCCUUUCGAUGAUUCUUGGCUUGAUUUCGGCGGGGCGGCGCUGGGUUUUCCGUUCCAUUUUGGCGCUGGGGUUGGGGUCGGCCAUCACUCGCCGCACUCCUCCUCCUCGCCGUCCACUGACAGCGCUGCAUACUUGCUGGCGUGGCUGAAGGGGGCUGGGCUGUCCUCCAGUCUCUUUGGCUCAGGCGCAGCUCUCGCCUCGUGCUCCUUGCGGCUGUCUUUCCUCUCCGCUGAGCUCCCACUGCGCGCCUUUGGGCCAUCCCGGCCCCCAUCUGGCUUGUUCUCAUCCCCUCUCCGGUGGGUGCUCCUCGGGGCAGCCCCGUUCUCUGCAGGCGGGCGGGAAGCCAUCUGGCUGCUGGGUGAGUGCUGCUCAGAGUCAGAGCCCGGGGAGCGCCCGGCGGUGCUGCUGCUGCGCUUGGCCCACGCGUUCUCCUUGGGGGGCGGCGCGGGCAUCACCUUCAGCGGCUGCUUCUCCUCACGGCCCUCCUCCUCACGGCCACACGCAUCGCCCUCCACUGACUUCUCACUCUCCCUCCUCCGCGUGGUCCUGCCGGUGGGGCCGGUGCCAGCGGUGGUGCCGGGGGGUCCGGCGGCUCCGCUCUGCGAAGACUCACUGCCCGUCCGCGACCGCUCGGGGUUGUCCUCACUGCGGCUGCUGGGGUACCGCUCCCGUGGCCGCCGCUCCAGCCUCUUGUCGUCCUCCAGUUGCCGCUGCAACUUCUCCUGUUCCUUCUGCAGCCUCUCCUCCACCUCGCGCUCGCGGGCGGCCGUGUCCACGGGUUUGGCCCCCCCGAAGAUGGAGGCGGCGCGGCUGGACUGCGGCGCGGGGGCUGCUGUGCUCUCCUCCUCCUUCGGAGCGCUGCGCGGCUUCAGGUUCAGCUUAGGGCGCUGCGUGGGGCCUGGGGGGUGGCACGUGGGGCUGGGGGGUGUCCCGCAUCCCCACAUCCCGUACACAAUGCAUCCCACCCACGUGCCCCAUCCUGUGCCUGCCACCUGCUUCCUGCACCCCACAUAUCCUGAAUCCCAC
Molecule: long non-coding RNA, 1095 nt
Filed under: Gallus gallus (chicken)
Lineage: Eukaryota; Metazoa; Chordata; Aves; Galliformes; Phasianidae
Source: RNAcentral